GGAUGAUGAAGACGAGGCCGAGGGUGGGGGUGGGGGGAAGGGGGGACCAGGUGUGGGUGAAGAUGCGGAGGCCGCGGGGGUUGAGGAAGGAGGAGGUGGAGUGGGCGACGGAGUGGCGGGCGUAGAACUCGUCGGCGGUGAGGGAGCCGAAGGGGCUCUUGUCGUUGGCUUCGGCGAUAGGAUGCACCAUUUUUUCCUACGUCUUCGUUGCCUCUGCCGCUGGCUCUAUCUCCGACGCUGAUACCAC
RNAcentral lists this unclassified non-coding RNA (247 nucleotides) under Hevea brasiliensis (rubber tree). Lineage: Eukaryota; Viridiplantae; Streptophyta; Magnoliopsida; Malpighiales; Euphorbiaceae. The record is from RNAcentral.